GAUGAACGCUGGCGGCGUGCCUAAUACAUGCAAGUCGAGCGAACAGACGAGGAGCUUGCUCCUUUGACGUUAGCGGCGGACGGGUGAGUAACACGUGGGUAACCUACCUAUAAGACUGGGAUAACUUCGGGAAACCGGAGCUAAUACCGGAUAAUAUUUCGAACCGCAUGGUUCGAUAGUGAAAGAUGGCUCUGCUAUCACUUAUAGAUGGACCUGCGCCGUAUUAGCUAGUUGGUAAGGUAACGGCUUACCAAGGCAACGAUACGUAGCCGACCUGAGAGGGUGAGCGGCCACACUGGAACUGAGACACGGUCCAGACUCCUACGGGAGGCAGGAGUAGGGAAGCUUCCGCAAUGGGCGAAAGCCUGACGGAGCAACGCCGCGUGAGUGAUGAAGGUCUUCGGAUCGUAAAACUCUGUUAUUAGGGAAGAACAAACGUGUAAGUAACUGUGCACGUCUUGACGGUACCUAAUCAGAAAGCCACGGCUAACUACGUG
RNAcentral lists this ribosomal RNA (497 nucleotides) under uncultured bacterium. RNAcentral's name for it is "partial 16S ribosomal RNA". It matches the Rfam family "Bacterial small subunit ribosomal RNA", at positions 28 to 507 of the family's 1533-position model. The record is from RNAcentral.